AAAUGAUUAAUCUGUAUGUUCAAUCUAUUAAUUGCUAGGCAUCUUUUCACAAUGGAUGUCAAGGGAAAAGCCAAGUGGUCUUGAUUUUGAUCCUUGUUGCUCAACUAUUGUUCUAUGAGGGCAGGAACCCAUGUGUUAUUCACUGAGCGUGGUAAACUCUCACAAAGAUGUAUUACAUAAAUGAGUGAGUAACGGCUGACUUUAAACUGGCAUGCAGGGUGAUAUACAUUUUCUUUUGUGCUCUCUGCUGUGUGAAGGAAUGUCAAACUUGAUUUCUUAAAGACAGUAACGGUCUCCAGUCUGGUCCACGAUGUGUAUCCAUCCCUACAUCUGCCCCAGUCCUGCAGGAACCCCCAUCUCAAAAGGGGUGCUCCUCUUCACUCAGAACAGCCCACUUCUUCUCUAUUCCACCACGUCUGCAUCCCCUCUUCCGCCCAGCCUCGAAUCUCCACCAUCCAAAUCUGAACUUCUAAAGCUUACUCAUUUUCUGAUUCAAGUUCACAUUUUCUUUCCCCUUAGAUUUGCAUAGCACUUUUCAUUUCACUGUUUGGUCCAAAAUUCACAUAAUCCUCUAAUGAACUCCCAGGCACGUCAUCAUUGUUCUGGGAAUUUUAUGUAAUGACCUCUUUUAGGUGAAAUGAGACAUAUGGGCAACUCAUGGGGAGACAGGAUGUGCAUGAGAAAGGUCGGAACACGUGCUGUGGGAAUUGGAAAGAGGGAAGGAGAAUGGCUUCUUUGACGGAUCCUUUGGACAGGGCCUCAACAGGUCAGGAGGAUGUGGACAUGUGAGGGAACAGCAUGAGGAAAGUAAGGAGAGAGGAAGUGCAGGUCUGUCGAGGAGCAGAGAGGAGCAGGUGUGGCUGCAGGUGGAGGUGCUUAGAGGAGAGGAGGGAAUCUCACAGGACCACUGGGCCAUGAGUGGUGGCCUGAGAUUGGACUUAAUGCCAUGUAGUAUAUGUUUUCUGUUUGAUGGAGGAAUUUAAACUUUCACCUCUUAUAGUGAGAGCUCACAUCUCCUUCAAGAAAGGAAUUAUUUCUGAUACCUCAGUGAAAUAGAGAGAGGAAAACAAGGUAAAAAUUUCCCAAGGGGUUUCUACAAGAUUUCCAGCACUUCCUAAAUUAGCCCUGACCAGUAAAACCACGAGAGAAGACUUCCUGGCAGAGCCUGGCACUUCCAUUUCCAGUCCCAACCGAAAGCAGGAAGCAUUGAGACAAGUAAUAAUUCAACUCUUCAGUUGGCUUCCAAAAUUAUCCACAUUCAGGUCACCUGGCAUUCGCACCAAAGAUGUAGACACCUCCUGAGCAAGCCUUUAAAUUGUCAUUGUGCUGUGGUCACAAGUAAUUAUGCCUUUCAUUCCUGGGGGCAGAGAUGGUCAAACUGCCUGAAAGUAUUUGGAGACAUCAUUGCUGACACUUUCCUCCCAUGAAGGAAUAGGCAUGACAAUGUUGCUGAUGCAUGGUGGGCUGUUAGAACCAUUGGGGGUGGGCAGCCCCCUCCAUGAACCCCAGUGACUCUCACCUCCUGCAUCCCCAUCCUGUGUCAUCCUUCCCACAUUGCAGCAGGCAGGAAGGGUUUGUGUGGUCAAUAGCAUAAAGCGAUGGUAUGAUGCUUCCAAGGUUAACUUGUAAAAGGUUUUCACUUCUAUUCUUCCUCCUCCCUCCCUCCUCCCCGCCCCCUUUCUACCCCAAAACCAGAAAAGCAAGCUGCCAUGUUGUAAGCAGUCACAUGAUGGAUCAAAUCCUCUUGCCACCAGCCAAAUGCUUAGAAGCAGACGCUUCAGCCCCUUCUGAUACCUGCAGCCCUGGCCAGCAACUUCACUGCAAUUUUAAGACUCCCUUGGAUUUGUUUAAGUUGCUAAGUUUGGGGAUAGCUUGUUACACAAGUUAUCUGUUACACAGCAGUAGAUAACUAGUACAAACACCAUCAGUGGUUUACUGAAUAGCUCUUGCAUCCUCAGGUUGUUCCGGCUUUGCAGAACAACCAAGGGUGAGGGUGGCAAUCACAAUCGUUGCUGACUCCUACGUUCCCACUCAAUAAAGCCAAACCCUUUUUCUUCUGGUGUCCUGGAGGCUCCUGUAUCUUCCCUUGCCUUGCCAUGGCCUUUGUUCUGGGAGAAGAAGAGUUAAGAGCAUGCUACAGAUUGGGAAGUGAGCUUCUGCUUCCAGCACUAUGACAAGCUGCUCUGACCCCAUCUCUGUGGUUUGUGAUAAGUGAGUGAAGUGGGGACAGAGCAGCCUGCAGGCAUGCGUAGACACGUAGACAUGAGUGCAAACUCUAGCUCUGGCACUGAAUGGCUUUGCAUCAUCUCUAUGAGGCUCAGUUUCCUUACCUGUAAAAUGGGAAAAUAAUAC
Molecule: long non-coding RNA, 2352 nt
Filed under: Equus asinus (donkey)
Lineage: Eukaryota; Metazoa; Chordata; Mammalia; Perissodactyla; Equidae
Description: lncRNA (ENSEASG00005037989.1)
Source: RNAcentral